Unclassified non-coding RNA from Vicugna pacos (alpaca), 305 nucleotides. Its record names the gene 7SK. It matches the Rfam family "7SK RNA". From Rfam's summary of the family: 7SK was discovered as an abundant small nuclear RNA in the mid-70s but a possible function has only recently been suggested. Two independent studies have found that 7SK RNA binds the CDK9/cyclin T complex (known as elongation factor P-TEFb). Lineage: Eukaryota; Metazoa; Chordata; Mammalia; Artiodactyla; Camelidae. The record is from Ensembl.
GGAUGUGAGGGUGAUCUGACUGUGACAUCUGUCACACCACUGAUCACCAGGGUUGAUCUGGCUGGCUAGACGGGUGUCCCCUUCCUCCCUCACUGCUCCAUGUGCGUCCCUCCCAAAGCUGAGCACUCGGUCAAAGAGGACUACCAUCCCUGAUAGAGGAGGACCAUUCUUCUCAGUCAAGGGUAUACGAGUAGCUGUGCUCCCCUGCUAGAACCUCCAUAUAAGCUCUCAAAAAUGGGAAGAAUAUCUGAAUACACAUUUUUCCAAAGAAGACAUACAGACAGACAACAGGUACAGAAAAAUAU